This 466-nucleotide ribosomal RNA is filed under the name uncultured bacterium. RNAcentral describes it as "partial 16S ribosomal RNA". It matches the Rfam family "Bacterial small subunit ribosomal RNA", at positions 28 to 507 of the family's 1533-position model. The record is from RNAcentral.
GAUGAACGCUGGCGGCGUGCUUAACACAUGCAAGUCGAACGGAAAGGCUCCUGCUUGCAGGGGUACUCGAGUGGCGAACGGGUGAGUAACACGUGGGUGAUCUGCCCUGCACUUCGGGAUAAGCCUUGGAAACUGGGUCUAAUACCGGAUAGGACGAUGUUUUGGAUGCCAUUGUGGAAAGUUUUUUCGGUGUGUGAUGAGCUCGCGGCCUAUCAGCUUGUUGGUGGGGUAAUGGCCUACCAAGGCGUCGACGGGUAGCCGGCCUGAGAGGGUGUACGGCGACAUUGGGACUGAGAGACGGCCCAGAAUCCUACGGGAGGCAGCAGUGGGGAAUAUUGCACAAUGGGCGCAAGCCUGAUGCAGCGACGCCGCGUGGGGGAUGACGGCCUUCGGGUUGUAAACACCUUUCGCUAGGGACGAAGCGCAAGUGACGGUACCUGGAGAAGAAGCACCGGCUAACUACGUG